GAUGAACGCUGGCGGCGUGCCUAAUACAUGCAAGUCGAGCGAACGGACGAGAAGCUUGCUUCUCUGAUGUUAGCGGCGGACGGGUGAGUAACACGUGGAUAACCUACCUAUAAGACUGGGAUAACUUCGGGAAACCGGAGCUAAUACCGGAUAAUAUUUUGAACCGCAUGGUUCAAAAGUGAAAGACGGUCUUGCUGUCACUUAUAGAUGGAUCCGCGCUGCAUUAGCUAGUUGGUAAGGUAACGGCUUACCAAGGCAACGAUGCAUAGCCGACCUGAGAGGGGGAUCGGCCACACUGGAGCUGGGACACGGUCCAGGCUCCUACGGGAGGCAGCAGUAUGGAAUCUUCCGCAAUGGGCGAAAGCCUGACGGAGCAACGCCGCGUGAGUGAUGAAGGUCUUCGGAUCGUAAAACUCUGUUAUUAGGGAAAAACAUAUGUGUAAGUAACUGUGCACAUCUUGACGGUACCUAAUCAGAAAGCCACGGCUAACUACGUG
RNAcentral lists this ribosomal RNA (497 nucleotides) under uncultured bacterium. RNAcentral describes it as "partial 16S ribosomal RNA". It matches the Rfam family "Bacterial small subunit ribosomal RNA", at positions 28 to 507 of the family's 1533-position model. The record is from RNAcentral.